ACAAGUUGCGAAGCACAGCUAAGCAUUAGUAGUAGUUUGGUUCAGCCAUUAUCUAUGUGGUACAUAGAACAGGCUAGAAAUGAACUGAAGUUGAAUCGACUGGCUAGAUUCGAUAGAAUACGGUAUGCCGUCGGUACUUGAAUCUGCACAAAACUGUCACAUCUAGAAAGCCUAAAACCCUGAUAGGGUUACCUGAUACGUGGUGCACCACUAGCAGGUAUGAGCUCAGCGUGUUACGCGACCAUAAGUUAAACUGCACCAUCGCGUGCUAUGCUGAAAAAGCGCUUGAUGGCCACAUGAGCCCAUGAACACCCCAUUUCACACAAGACUUGGUUUUAGCUGGCCAUUCAGCGGAAAAGCGCAGCAUCCUAGAUCCAAGGGUGUUGUCGACUAGUAGCCCGAAGAUGGAAAGCUACAGUAAUCGAAACGUCAGGACGCGAGUUUGCUGAUCAUGAAGCUCUUAACGGAGGAGGUCCCAGAAAUGGUCCAGAGACUAAAGCACGGGAACUCGGGUAGCAGGCUUGUUUGUGUCCGUUGUAGGCUGUAACCCAUCCAUCGUUAAUCGAGCCGCUUCCCAAAGAGUUGUUUUUGGAGCCUUCUGCGAAGUCAACUGCCUGCUUAUCCUGCUAAGCAGGAGCAUUCAGGUUUGGGGAAGAUCCAUUUGGGAGAGGAUGUGGUUUGGCUCGAGCAAUUAAGCCAUGCGCCUUCAAAGAUCGACCCUACCAAGAAUGGGAGGCAACACCAUGUACAAGCUUUAAAUACCGGAGUGACCCCGCUUCCUGCCGUCGGGGCAGUUUGCCAUCACUUGUUGGUUGAAGAAGUGCAUCUAAUCGCUGCCCAUGCAAUUUCAAACCCCGAUGUAUGAAGCUAGUCGCUUUUUUGGUAAGUGGUGCAAAGGUAUAUCGAUGCACUAAACAGCCCGCAGGCAAUGAUCCGUAGUCGCCAGCAAAGUCGAGCCUGACUCGGCCGCGAGCCCAGGGCGGGAGUCGGUCCUGCCUGGUCUCGAAUCGAUGUUUGCCAUCGAUACUUGAUAUGGUGGUAGCUGAUCCUAUGUUUAAAGAAGAUAGCAAGAAAUAACUUACACUCAAAAAGCCUGACUGUUCCUAACUUUGAAGCCGAAGAGGGGAAAGUUCAUGUGAACGGCACUUGCACAUGGGUUAGUCGAUCCUAAGAGACGGGGAAGCUCGUCCGAUCGGCGCGCCAGCGCGAGCUUCGAAAGGGAAUCGGGUUAACAUUCCUGAACCGGGACGUGGCGGCUGACGCAACGUUAGGAGUCCGGAGACGUCGGCGGGGGCCUCGGGAAGAGUUAUCUUUUCUGUAACAGCCUGCCACCUGGAAACCGGCUCAGCCGGAGGUAAGGUCCAGCGGCAGGAAGAGCACCGCACGUCGGUGGUUCCGGUGCGCCCCGGCGGCCCUUGAAAAUCCGGAGGACCGAGUGCGACCACGCCGGUGCGUACUCAUAACCGCAUCAGGUCUCUCAAGGUGAACAGCCUUGGUCGAUGGAACAAUGUAGGCAAGCGGAAGUCGGCAAAAUGGAUCCGUAACUUCGGAAAAGGAUUGGCUCUGAGGCUGGGCACGGGGGUCCCAGUCCGAACCCGUCGGCUGUCGGUGGACUGCUCGAGCUGCCUCCGCGGCGAGAGCGGGUCGCCGCGUGCCGGCCGGGGGACGGACUGGGAACGGCCCCUCGGGGGCCUUCCCGGGCGUCGAACAGCCGACUCAGAACUGGUACGGACAAGGGGAAUCCGACUGUUUAAUUAAAACAAAGCAUUGCGAUGGUCCCUGAGGAUGCUAACGCAAUGUGAUUUCUGCCAGUGCUCUGAAUGUCAAAGUGAAGAAAUUCAACCAAGCGCGGUAAACGCGGGGAGUAACUAUGACUCUCUUAAUCAGCGGGGAAAGAAGACCCGUUGAGCUUGACCUCUAGUCCGACUUUGUGAAAUGACUUGAGAGGUGUAGGAUAAGUGGAGCCCUCGGGCAAAAGUGAAAUACCACUACUUUAACGUUAUUUUCUUACUCCGUGAGGUCGAGGCGGGGCAUUGCCCUCUUUUUGGACCCAAGCCCGCCCAGCGGGCCGAUCCGAGCCGGAGGACAUUGUCAGGUGGGAGUUUGCUGGGGCGGCACAUCUGUUAAAGAUAACGCAGGUGUCCUAAGAUGAGCUCGACAGAAACAGAAAUCUCGUGUGGAACAGAAGGGUAAAAACUCGUUGAUUUGAUUUUCAGUACGAAUACGAACCGUGAAAGCGUGGCCUAACGAUCCUUUAGACCUUCGAAUUUGAAGCUAGAGGUGCAGAAAAGUUACCACAGGAUAACUGGCUUGUGGCAGCAAGCGUUCUGCGACGUUGCUUUUGAUCCUUCGAUGUCGGCUCUUCCUAUCAUUGUGAAGCAGAAUUCACCAAGUGUUGGAUUGUUCACCCACAAUAGGGAACGUAGCUGGAUUAGACCGUCGUGAGACAGGUUAGUUUACCCUUCUGAUGACAGUGUCGCGAUGGUAAUAUCAACCUAGUACGAGAGGAACCGUAUGAGGCAACCCAGCCACCUCGAAUCCGUACUCUCUCAAAUGCAUAUCACCCCUUAUAUUUCACACUAACGGUUGGUUUAGACUGGCCAUUCAAGCCUGAAGAAAAGGCGCUGCCGCUGCGCAAUUGCGCCCGUAAGGAUGGAAAGCUGUAUCGAAACUAUCAGAGUUUCUGAAGCUCUUUGACAGCAGCGCGCCGACAGUCGGGUCAACAAAUGCAACGGGAAACACGGGUCGAAGGCCUUCAGC
Molecule: ribosomal RNA, 2760 nt
Filed under: Nepenthes ampullaria
Lineage: Eukaryota; Viridiplantae; Streptophyta; Magnoliopsida; Caryophyllales; Nepenthaceae
Description: eukaryotic LSU rRNA
Rfam family: Eukaryotic large subunit ribosomal RNA (bases 1044-2760)
Source: RNAcentral